UACGUAGGCAGCGAGCGUUGUUCGGAGUUACUGGGCGUAAAGGGUGUGUAGGCGGUUGUUUAAGGUUGGUGUGAAAUCUCCCGGCUCAACUGGGAGGGUGCGCCGAAUACUGAAUGACUUCGAGUGCGGGAGAGGAGAGUGGAAUUCCUGGUGUAGCGGUGAAAUGCGUAGAUAUCAGGAGGAACACCGGUGGUGUAGACGGCUCUCUGGACCGUAACUGACGCUGAGACACGAAAGCGUGGGUAGCAAACAGG
RNAcentral lists this ribosomal RNA (254 nucleotides) under uncultured bacterium. Its description in RNAcentral is "partial 16S ribosomal RNA". It matches the Rfam family "Bacterial small subunit ribosomal RNA", at positions 524 to 776 of the family's 1533-position model. The record is from RNAcentral.